CAACUACUCCCUCUGUCCCAAAUUUCUUGUCUUAGAUUUGUCUAGAUACGGAUGUAUCUAAUACUAAAAUGUGACUUGAUACAUCCGUAUCUAGACAAAUCUAAGACAAGAAUUUUGGGACGGAGGGAGU
Triticum aestivum (bread wheat) is the source of this 130-nucleotide non-coding RNA. NCBI's taxonomy places the organism in Eukaryota, Viridiplantae, Streptophyta, Magnoliopsida, Poales, Poaceae. The record is from Rfam.